AUGUGGAUGUGACUGGGAGAAUCUACUGGAGGAGGAAGCAGACAAUGUGGAUGUGACUGGGAGAAUCUACUGUGGAAGGAAAUAGACAAUGUGGAUGUGACUGGGAGAAUCUACUGGGGGAGGAAGUAGACAAUGUGGAUGUGACUGGGAGAAUCUACUGGAGGAGGAAGUAGACAAUGUGGAUGUGACUGGGAGAAUCUACUGGGGAAGGAAGCAGACAAUGUGGAUGUGACUGGGAGAAUCUACUGGGGAAGGAAGUAGACAAUGUGGAUGUGACUGGGAGAAUCUAUUGGAGGAGGAAGUAGACAAUAUGGAUGUGAGGGAAACAAUCUACUGGAGGAGGAAGUAGACUAUGUGGAUGUGAGGGGAACAAUAUACUGGUUACUGUACCAGCACCAACUCUCUCUCUCCUUCUGUGUGUGUGUGUGUGUGUGUGUGUGUGUGUGUGUGUGUGUGUGUGUGUGUGUGUGUGUGUGUGUGUGUGUGUGUGUGUGUGUGUGUGUGUGUGUGUGUGUGUGUGUGUGUGUGUGUGUGUGUGUGUAAGCGGAAAACUCCUCUUGCACAGUAACUUAUCCGCACAAUACUAUUUAACUUUUUUUAUCCUUUUGAGUUGUUUCUGUAAACUUUUUAAAACUCUUUAAUUGCAAGGCUAGGGGAAAAACAAAUGACAGGCAAAACUAUUGUAUUUAAAUUCCGAGAAUGUAAUGAAACAUAAAUGUAUAAUGCAUCUGGCUGGGGACACUGGAGUGUAGUGUGAAUAAUUAACAAUGUUAUAUUAUCCUGCUGUUAGAAACUCCUCAGCUAUCCUACUUUAAAAUGCUGCUGCUCAUUUCAUUGUGGAUCUGUUUUUUUCAUUAAAGCAUCAGGAAAAUAA
Molecule: long non-coding RNA, 874 nt
Filed under: Salmo salar (Atlantic salmon)
Lineage: Eukaryota; Metazoa; Chordata; Actinopteri; Salmoniformes; Salmonidae
Description: lncRNA (ENSSSAG00000103419.1)
Source: RNAcentral